Molecule: long non-coding RNA, 682 nt
Filed under: Lotus japonicus
Lineage: Eukaryota; Viridiplantae; Streptophyta; Magnoliopsida; Fabales; Fabaceae
Description: long non-coding RNA (LJAP_LNC001306)
Source: RNAcentral
UUAGUCUAAUUUCUCAAGCACUAUAAGCAGGGUAGCACUAAUACUAGUACUAGUACUAGUUAGUAACCAAACAUUUAGAGUUUAUACUGAUUUUUUGUAAAUUCCCACUUGUUCUUUGAGUGCUGAUUUUUUGUAAAUUCCCACUUGUUGUCUUGCACCUUCUUUGAGUGCUGAUUUUUUUUUUGUAACUGUAUUGCUAUUUUCAUUGUAAAUUCCCACUUGUUCUUUUCUUUUUUGCUUGUGUAUUUGCCUAAUUUUAAUUACUCUUGUUUAUUUUGAAGGAUUAGAAUUGCAAUCAGUGUAUCCUGCGUGGGAAUCGGAAAAUUGCAGAGGAGCAAGUGCCACGGCUGUAGCUCGUAGUCAUAGGCAAAGUUACUUGGUUGAUUUGUUGUAUCAAUUUGGCAAAAAGGUAUUUUGUUUUACAUCUUUGCUUUGUUUUUCCUUGCCUUACCUUCAUUUCAGCUUGAUUUUUUUUCCCUUGCUUUGUAUCAAUUAAGUGAGUUUUGACAUAUGGUUCAGAAUUUAAGCUGCAUAUGUAGGUGCCCACUAGGGUGGGUAACCUUUUUUUUUGGUCCACCGGUGCUCCAUCAUUAAUCAUCAUUAGAUCUUAGCAUCUUAGAAUAUUCUGUAAUUGAAUGGUCAAGAUUUAAUGAAUGACAAAAGGGUAAAAAUGUAAAUGACC